This 74-nucleotide transfer RNA is filed under the name Mycoplasma bradburyae. RNAcentral's name for it is "tRNA-Thr". It matches the Rfam family "tRNA". Rfam says of the family: Transfer RNA (tRNA) molecules are approximately 80 nucleotides in length. Their secondary structure includes four short double-helical elements and three loops (D, anti-codon, and T loops). The record is from RNAcentral. Lineage: Bacteria; Bacillati; Mycoplasmatota; Mollicutes; Mycoplasmatales; Mycoplasmataceae.
GCCGAAUUAGUUUAGUGGUAAAACAGAUGCAUGGUAAGCAUCAGAGACAAGUUCAAUUCUUGUAUUCGGCACCA